This 504-nucleotide ribosomal RNA is filed under the name uncultured bacterium. Its description in RNAcentral is "partial 16S ribosomal RNA". It matches the Rfam family "Bacterial small subunit ribosomal RNA", at positions 28 to 523 of the family's 1533-position model. The record is from RNAcentral.
GAUAAACGCUAGCGGCAGGCUUAACACAUGCAAGUCGAGGGGCAGCAUAGAUUGUAGCAAUACAAUUGGUGGCGACCGGCGCACGGGUGCGUAACGCGUAUGCAACCUACCCGUCACAGGGGGAUAAUCCGGAGAAACCUGGUCUAAUACCCCAUAACAUAUGGAUCGGCAUCGGUUCAGGUUGAAAUUUGCGGAGGUGACGGAUGGGCAUGCGUAGCAUUAGCUUGUUGGUGAGGUAACGGCUCACCAAGGCGACGAUGCUUAGGGGGACUGAGAGGUUUUCCCCCCACACUGGUACUGAGACACGGACCAGACUCCUACGGGAGGCAGCAGUGAGGAAUAUUGGUCAAUGGGCGCAAGCCUGAACCAGCCAUGCCGCGUGCAGGAUGACGGCUCUAUGAGUUGUAAACUGCUUUUGUACGAGGGUAAAGUGGGUUACGUGUAACCUUUUGAAAGUAUCGUACGAAUAAGGAUCGGCUAACUCCGUGCCAGCCGCCGCCGUAA